This 28810-nucleotide long non-coding RNA is filed under the name Setaria italica (foxtail millet). RNAcentral describes it as "long non-coding RNA (SITA_LNC004332)". The record is from RNAcentral. Lineage: Eukaryota; Viridiplantae; Streptophyta; Magnoliopsida; Poales; Poaceae.
GCUAGGCAACACUUCCCUAUCGAGGAGGACCAGCUUGUUCCCCUCCCUGAUUAUUGGCACAAGCUGAUCGGGGAAGAGACCGAUCGAUAUGGCGGCGGAGCAGCAGUCGAGCAGCGGCGCUCACGCGGCGGCGACCCAGCUGGGCGACCUGCCGGAUGCGUGCCUGGCGCAGGCCAUCGCGCUCACCUCCCCGCGCGACGCCUGCCGCUGCGCCGCCGUGUCACCGGCCUUCCGCGCCGCCGCCGACUCUGACCACGUCUGGCGGGGCUUCCUCCCCGAGCAGCUGAUGAUCGACGGCCACAGCUACAAGCCCGCCGCCGUGGCGCUCCACCAGGCGCCGGCGCCGGCGGCCAAGAGCAAGAAGGAGGCGUACCUCGGCCUCUGCAACGCCUCCGGCGCCGUGGCCGUCGGUGAUGGCGACGGCGGGUGCCGGGUGUGGCUGGAGAGGGCCACCGGCGCCAGGUGCUACGCGCUGUCGGCGAGGAGGCUCAGCCUGCCCUGGGACGACGGCGAGUUCUCCUGGAAAUUCACGCCCCAUCCCCGCUCCAGGUUUGCUUCUCCUCACUCUUCUCCUAUGUUCAAACUUCAAAGUUGUCUUCUUGCCUUAAAUGAACAAUUGUUUUUCCCUCACACGCCACCUGCUAUCGAUCGAGUUGCUCAUCACAGAGAAUUAUUUCCUACUGUAGAAAAUUAUCUCGUUUUCUUUUCCGGUUGCAAAACUUGUUAAAAGGGGUAGCUAGGCCAAGCUUAACAGCAAUGGAUCAAUUGAAACUUUGUUAGGAAAGCUGCACGAUCGAUCGUAUACCUUUCCUUUAGAAACGAGAAUCGAACUGCUUGAUUUGGUCUGAAACUUACACCCGGCGGCGAUCGAGCUGGCGGUCGCAGUCAGCCUCCAUUACUGUGAUAGAAAGCUCCACCAUGUCCCUAACCUUUUCCGUCCAUGCCGAUGAAAAGGAAGGCGAGUGAUGAGGGCGUCCACUACUGGGCACGACGAGUGGCCGGCAGGCACCCACACGCUGCUGGUCCAGGUCUUCUAGAACAUGUCCUCAGGAAAAGAUUCUGUGGCGCAACAGCGGCUUCAUCAGUUCAUGGUCUAUAGCUGUUUGAGGUAGGGUAUAUGUACGAUGAAGCAAUGGCUGUUUUUCCUAUAUGACUUCCUAACUAAUAGUCCCAUUUAGCUCCGCUAGCUACUAUGUUUUAGAGUUUUGCUGCUGAAAACUAUAGCCAGAGAUUUAAAACAGCUGCUGAUACAUGACUUCCUGGAUAUGAAAUCCAUUCAAACUAGAUGCGAUCGAGGGAUCAAUAUAAUAGUAGUUCCGUACGGAACUGUCAUCUCUGAUCUUCUCUCCGAGAUGAAACAAUUUGAACAAUUUUGGGUUAGCAAUUGGAUAUGAUAUCCAGUACGAGUGUCCCUCACAUCUGACCCUGUCCUGUCGGCGUCAACGGCUGAUCGAUGCCAUCAGCCGAUCAGCGUGGACAGCCAAUAAACAACCUAAUUAAUCCUCCUAAUGACUCUUGGUCCUAGCUUAAUUAUCUGGAUUAUAUCUGCCUGAAUCGAUGGAUUAAAGUACUGAUGGUGAGCAGGUUCGCGGAGGUGGCGGAGCUGGUGGACUGCACGUGCCUGGACAUCUACGGGGCGCUCCCGGCGUCGUCCCUCACGCCGGCGACGCCCUACGCGGCGUACCUCGUCUACGACACGGCGGCGGAGGGUGGCCACCGCGGCCUCAGCUACCCGGACCAGGAGACGACGGUGUCCCUGGGCGGCCGCGUCGUCGCGCGCCACGACGUGUGCAUCCGCCCCGACGACGCCGAGGCGCGCAAGUUCUGGGGCGGCGGUGGCCGGACUGGUGGCGGCGAUCGCGAGGAGCCGAGGCGGCCGAGGAGGAGGGAGGACGGGUGGUGGGAGAUGGAGAUGGGGCGGCUGCCGAGCACCGCCGGCGAGCCGGAGGAGGAGGUGGUGGCGAGCUUCGAGGUGCUCGGGUGGUACCCCAAGCGCGGCCUUGUCGUCGAGGGCAUCGAGUUCAGGCCCGUCGUCGAAAGUUCUACCUGACAACAACCAUGCAAAUUGUGAAAAUGUGUAGUAUUUCAGUUCAUCGGCUGGAUGAACUUAAUGCUUGGAUGGUAUUUUUACACUUGUACAUGCGACGAUCUGAUGUUGAAAAAGAAGCUUGUCGAUCGUUUUGAUGUUACAUGCAAGCCAGAUGCCACGUACCACGAUGAGCCUGCAGCUAUCGGUACUGUUGGGUUUGGUAAGGGGUCGCGCUCAGGAUCUGAAUCUAAGAAUCUUGUGGCAUCUGAAACCGGUUUGCUGGUCCCGGCCCCUUUGAAUCUGAAUCCUAUACUAGUAGGGAAAACAAAAAUAGUAUCAAGUAUGAAAUGAACCUUGGCCGGUUUGGCCAGGUUUUGCCUUCCGCGCCCAUGGAGUACUGUUUGUUUGGUAUCCGUCGCGUUCUGACGGCGAAAGGAGCCCUGACGUAACCAUCUCUCUGCUAACUCUUGUCAUGGUUGAGACGGUCUCGUGGUUGGACGGUGUCACGCCCGGUUUCCAAACAAAACCAACUGCUUCCUAAAUAUAUAUUCAUGCUAGGAUCAAAUUUCGUACAUACAGUGAUAUCAUCAGUGAAUAAUAGUAACAGUAUCACGUAAAUAAAUAUAAAUAAAAAUAAAAACUUACGAGUCAAUCGGAGAUAUAUAGCUUAAUUCUGAAAAUGGAGGCUCUAAACUUCACAGGCAAUUGACUGAGGGUCACAUACACCUAGAACUUAGCAUCAUCUUCAGCAAAUUUCAUAGCAACCUCUUCUUCUGAGCAGCAGUUAGUAAGGAUGAGUACACAGAAUAAGGAUUUAAGUCUAUGUUCAAGUUUAUUAAUCAUAUAAGGGUCCAGGCCGCUCUUGACCGUGAGCACAACUGAUAUAUCAGUUUUACACUCUAUAGAGAUUGUACACUUGCACCACAAGUCGCGUAAAAGAACCAUGCUGUGCAAAAGUAGGCACUUAUCAUACUACCAAGGUGUGACUACAUAGGGACGCUACGAGACCUUUACAAAGAUUCGCUAAGCUAGCAAGUAGUAACCCACUAAGGUUUCAGAUUGAAGUAGAGCAUAAACCUCUCUCAAGACUGCGAAGAACACCUCCCCUCUUGCCCUUUCGGUAAGAUUACCUCAGACUAGAGUCUCUAAUUAAUUCGCCAAAACUAGAGCCAUGUAGUUCUUGUGGUUGCGCUAUUUUCCUAGGUGGUCGCUCCAUGUUCCAAUUAAUGCAUAGUAUUUUAUAAAUAAGUAUAGAUAGAAGGAUGGUUAGGGACACUUGACUUUCUCCAACGAAAAAUUACUCUUACUGCUCUUUAGCUCUUGCUCUCUUGAAACUAUUAAUCUUCAAACCUUUCGAACAACGAUCCUUUUACUCGAAGCAAUCAUUGGCACAACCAUACAAAGCAAACAAACAAGUACAACUAAGAACAAUACACCAAUCAAAGAAAAGCUUUAAAAGAGCGUACUAAAGGAUAGGGCUCGAUUCUAGGAUGACGAAGAUGCAUGAACACUAAGAACGAGUUGAAGACACACAUUUAUUAGAGAAACUUUGGUUUUAAAGGAAAGACAAGAUAUAUAUGCUGCAUUUAUUUUUAAUUAGAAAAUAUAUGUAAAGGAUACUUCUAGAAAAUACGUUAAUUCAAAUUAUAUUUGUAUAUGAAAAGACAAUGUAAAACCUAGUAAACUUUUAUUUAUAAAGAUUCAUGUACAAAUUAUGCCAUUUAAACAUUUAACCUUGAAAAAUAAACUAUGUGUAAUAACACCUAAUCGAUAACUUUAUAUGUCGUAUUGAACUAAAACAAGUUAUAAUUAUGAACUCAUUUAUGUUAAUAUUAAUCAUAUUAACACCUGCUUAAAGAAAAGACGAUACCUAAUUAGCUUUUUAUUAGAAAAGAUGAGUAAAUAAGUAUUAAUCAAAAUUAAUAUCAUAUUUAUUAAAAAAAUGAAACAUGAUGAAACAACGUUGCUAAGGGGGCGUUUGGUUUCUCGAGCUAAAAUUUAGUCCGUGUCACAUUGAAUAUUCGGAGACUAAUUAGGAGGACUAAAUAUGAGUUAAUUAUAAAACUAAUUGCACAGAUGGAGGCUAAAUAGGGAGAUAAAUCUAUUAAGCAUAGUUAAUCCAUAAUUAGCAAAUGGUUACUGUAGCAGCACAUUGUCAAAUCAUGAACUAAUUAGACUUAGUUCGUCUCGUCGUUUAGCCUCCAUAUGUGUAAUAAGUUUUGUAAAUAGUCUAUAUUUAGUACUUAUCUUAAAAAUUCAGGUGAGUAACCAAACACGUUACGAUUAGAAAAUUCUGAUUAGAAAAUUCUGAUGGCGCGAAAACUCCUUGCCGAGCCAAUAAAUGAUUCCUGGGAAAGCGCACCAGAUUCUUGCAUUCGGCGCUGCUGGAUUCAAACUGCCCCCGGAAUCUAGCUAAUAAACAGACUCAUGGAGUCGUUGGUUGUGAAAAAGAAUCUCCUUUUUUUCGCUUCACCGGAGGCAGCUGGAGCCAAUCGUGGGUUCUUCCGUACGAGGCCUAGCUAGGGUUGCUUCGUCCAAUUUGCAACUCCGUGAAACUCCUGGCCACAGGCGCUUCGCUGACGCAUGCUACUGCGCUUCAGCGGCCGGAGAGGAAUGAAGCCAUGGCAGCGAUCCGAAGAGCACGGCCGCAUCUUCCUCCGUCGUCUUCCCCUUUGCUUUCUUUGACGCUCCCGUCACCCACAUUCACAGCAUGGCCUGGCUCCCGAUACGGUACGGUGAGGACCAAAAUAAAACCAAAUUGAUCAAAAACUUUGGGUACAAGUUUAAAUAUUCCGCCGCUCAUAAGGUAUGUACAAUCCUACGUACUCCCCUAGCUAGAUAUAAAAAUUUGAGUAAACAUGAAUUCCAUGGGCCUGUUCGCUUCAGCUUAUAAGCCAGCUGAAAAGCUGAAACGGCUGAUUUAUUGUGAGAGGAAAAUACUGUUUGGUGGCUGAUAAGCCGACUGAAUAAGCUGAAGCGAACAGGCCGAUGCAUAUCUCCAUCGUGCUUCUCUCACUUGUAAAGCUAACGAAUAUAAUCCAAGAAUAAUUAAUGCAAUGUGCUUUCCUUGUUUUCCUCCUUAGGUCAUUACCAUAUCUCCCAGUUCUACCCACCACCUUUUCCAGGAGUGCUAAGUUCCCAUAUUUCCAUCAAAUUCUAGCCUAAUUCCAUUUAAAUAUAAAUUAUUGACCGGUCAAACAACUAAAUUCCAGUCUAGAAUUUCUAAAUUUCCUCUGAAUAUGGUAUCCGAAAGACCGAAACUUUUCGCACUUCGAAUCAACAAGAACCUUGACCUACUCCGUGACCGUUCAUAAAAUAGGCUAUUCUGUAGCCAGAUCCAACGGGUGCGCCAGAUGAGCCGAGCAAGCCAAUCCGGUCAUUUUAAUUCGUGCGGUCCCCGUGCCCACCAGCUUUUACGCGAGGCCGCGUUCCCUUAGGCCCCGUUUGGAUCCCUUCAUUUUGAAGGAAUUGGAAUGUAUUUAAUGGAGUAGGUUAAUUUAUGUUGGAAUGUGGCAUUCCACAACUUUCCAAAGUUUAGAUAUAAGCCUAUCUUAAAUUCAUGGGGUGGGAGAUGGAAAUUGAUUCUAUAGAUUAUGGUUAUUAGAAUGGAAUUCAAUUCUUAUAACACGCUCUUAGACUUGCUUCUCUAUAGUAGAAGUGCAGCAUAUAAGUAUCUCCCCCAUAUCACCAACUAUAAUAUACAACUAUAUUCCACAUACAAUUAUAUUAGCUUAAUUAAUUUGUGUCUAAAUUAUGAUUAUUAGGAUGGAAUUCAAUUCCAAUGAUCCAAACGGGGCCUUAUGGGUUUUAUGAGCCGAGCUGACCCACGAUGGGAAUACAAGCCGACCCUUCCAUAGCAGUAAUUAGCGCUAAUUGGUGCGUUUACUACCAUGAGAUCAAUACUAGAAUAUUCGAGUGCCCACCGAACCAGGACACGGGAUUCCUAGCGAUAACUAGUUCACGCUGAUUUUGGGAAUUCGCUGCAUGCAAGCUUAGCCAGGGUGGGUUGUUACGAGCAUACAUAAGCACGGUUUACUGUAUACGUGCACGCAAGUAUAGUGUUACGCGAAUACUAAAACGAGAGUGCGCUUACAUGUAGAGCUAAUACCUGCAAGCUACGGUAAAUAAUGCUCAAGUUACGAGAAUCAGACGACUGCUAAUUAAAUCUAUGUUACGAUAUAUAAUAAUGCUGAAGUUACGAGAAUCAGGCUGCCGAUCAGUAUUGAAGUUACGAAAAUCAGGUUGCUCAUCAUAUCGCCGGGCCAUUUAUUAAGGAUCCGGCAUAAGCCCCAAAUCAACUGAUGUUGACGCUUCAUGCAUGUAUAUGCUUCAAGGACUGCAGGAGCCUCGAUCUUGUCGUUUCGCACAACAAAUCCAUGGCUGUCGCAACUUCGGCUCAACUACAAUGGGAUAUGUUGACACAAGCUUCCGUCAAGAUGUGCUGAGGGACCGGUUAAUCUACUAGUAAUUACAGUAGUUCAAAAGGAUUAGAGACGAUAAACUAUCAUGGUGAGUUGCUACAAUUUUGUGUCAAAAGAUUGCUUCGAGGAACAACUUAUUACAACAGUUUGAAUGGCUCAUGUAGAUUUUAGGGGCGCCCUUGAGUUGGUUAGCGAGGCCGAUCCUGCAGAUUGGCUUCGUCUGGAUGAUAAAAGGUCGCAGAAGAGGAGGCGAGAUCUAUAGAGGCUGCACAUUUUCCUACAUUUCAUAGUGAAAUAUAAUUAGAAGCUACAAAAUCAGGACUCAAGUCAGUGAACUUCAUGGAUAAAUUCAGUCGCACAAACUUCGUGGUAAAAUUGAUUUACUUAAAAGGUAAUAAAUUAUAUGGUGAUUUUACCAUCAUAUGAUGGAUAAUGAAGGUCUAGUAAAAUUACGAGAAAUAUGUACAGUUAAAUUACGAGAAUUUAUGAAAACAAAUUAGUAAAUGGUAUGAUAUAUUUAAAAUAGUGCAGUGUUGUAAGGAUUCGUGGUCCAAGAAGGGGGGUUUUGAAUUGGGAUUUUUUCAAAUUUCUAGAACAAUAAAAGCAAACCUUAGCUUAGAUUUCUAGUAUUGCCCAAACUACAAGGUUCAAACCUAGAAACUAGGCACGCUAGCAAACAAGGAACCUGGCAAGGAGAGCACACUAACAUGAUCAUCAUUUCCUAAGGCAAGAUAUGAGCACAACUUGAACAAGAGCAAAAAGACAAGUGAAUUGCAAAAAUUAAAUGCACAAAAGAAGUGCUGAAAUGUAAAGAGUGAGGACACGAGAUAACCGGAUUUUUUCCAGUGAUAUCGAGGAGUUGACACUACCCCCUAAUCCAUAUUGGAGCACUCACUAAGAGUUUUGCUCCCUCAAGUCACAAAGACAAGAUUGCUUCACUAAGAAUGCUCAUUCUCCAUCUCCGGAACGGCAAGCUUCACACCGUGUAUAAAAUCUUUUUCUUGGAGCUCCCACAAUCUCCAAGAGCUCAUUAAGAACCUCUGGGUCACCAAGACUGUCCAGGUGACGUCAACCACCAAGGGUAACAAGCUUCAAUGCUUCACUUGAUCAACACUCAGCUAAGCCAUGAACUAGAUGCACACGUGCCACCCUUCAACACUAAGAGAAGUCCUUAAUCUUGAGAUUUAGCGAUUCACUAAUCACACUUUGGCUCUAGCACACUCACAACUGCUUAUGGGCUGCUUGAAGUCUUCAAGGUGUCAAGAGCAACUAAAAUGACCCAAGGGAGGGGUAUAUAUAGGAUAGGGAACAGCAGCUAGCCGUUGGAAAAGUGUGAACAGAAAAGCACACCAUCAGAUGUUCCGAUGGUGUUUCCUCCUCGGGGUGUCGGAACAUCCGGUCUCUCACAAACCAAAAUUUUGACCGUUAGAAAAGUAAUAGUGAAAAGUUCAUCUGAUGCUUCAUCCGAUGGUCUUGAGCUAGGCGUUGGAUCAUCCGGUGCUGAAGACGUUUUGGCUAAAACCUCUCUGGAAGGAAUUAAAGAAAAUAUGCUUCCUCUGACGCAUUCAUCCGAUGCUCACUUAGCAGCCGUCGGAACAUCCGGUGCUGAAGGCGUUUUUGACCAAAACUCUCUUGAAGUUGGCAAAGUAAGUAUGCUUGCUCCGAUGAUCUUCUUGACAUAGCAUCGGAACAUCCGCUGCUAAGAAAAAAUUCAUCCGAUGGUGACAUCGGAACAACUGAUGCCUGACUCCAUAUUUCCAGUCUGAGAAAAUUGCUCCGACACAACUAGAAAAUUGGGCAUCGGAAUAUCCGACGUUGUCCUUCAAUUUUCAACUCAUCCAAUUUAAUCUCCUUUAAGUUUUUCGUCAAUUUCUUUGCUUCUUGAGUUCUUCCAUGUGUUGUUUGAGCUACCAAGUGCUAGAGAGUACUGAGUAUGCAUCACAUUCAUAGUUAGCCUUGUAUGGUCAAGCUACUGUCAUUGAAACCCCUCUUAAUAGUACGAUCUAUGAGCUACAAACUAGAAAAAAAACCUAUAUUACACUAAGUGUCCUUCAUCUUCUUGUAACACUUAGUAUUAGAUUCUAUAUUAAAGAAAACACUUGUUUCAAUCUGUAUGGUGGUAAAUCACCUUAUAUUAUAGUCAACAUAUAGGCUAAGUUACAGUAAAUUACGACACAGUGUAGUAUGCGACAUAUUGAUUCUAGUAAAUAGUCUAUGUUGUCGUCUUGAGCAUUCGAAUUAUCAUAACUAUAUCACGAUAAUUUGGUCUGCAUUAUAGUGAUUGGUUCCUCAAAUAGCUUAAUAUCAAAUUAUUGUAACUUCAUAUCCUAAGGGGGUGUUUGGUUCCACCUUGCUAAAACUUUAGUUGCUAAAGUUUAGCAACUUUUAGCUGCUAAACUGCCAAACACCCUUGCUAAAGUUUGCUAAAGUUGAGUUGCUAAAGUUUAGCACUUUAGCAAGUUUUUGGUUGCUAAACUUGUUAAAAGGUGGGCUGGACAACCUAUGCCCCUCAUUUAUUACUUGUCUGUCCCCCUACGCACCUUCUCUCUCCCCUAUCCCCAUCCGCACCCGCACCAUACGCCUCCACACGCAUCCGCCGCCGCCGCCGGCGCAUCGCCGCCGUCGGCUCCUGCAGGCCAUCCUCACCGCCGCUCUACUGCCGCAGGACCUGCCGGUGGUGGUGCUCGGCUCGGCUGCCGGCCCACAUGCAGCCCCCCGCCUGGCCAUGGCGGAGGCCUAGCGCGGGUCCGCCGGUGCCGCCGGCGCGCAUGUCGGCGGGGGCGGCUGGCUGGCCGUGGCUGCUGGCUCCUACCCAAUCCGCCGCACCCCCCCUUGCGCCAUCCACUUUCUCUGCCGCUGUUCUUCCCGAAUCCAUCUCCAUCGCCAGUGGCACGGUGGUCCGGCCUCCGCCACCACUGGAUCCACCAUCCCUGCCGCCGCAACCCCCGGACGAGUGCGUCGCGGUCCAACGUGUCGGCGCGCCAGGCGAGCUCGAAGCAGGCAGCGGCAAGGGCCACGAGCGGCGGCUCGGCGAGGGCCAGGAGCGCGAGUGGAGGAGGACGGCGGGGGCGCUUGGCGUUGGGCUGAAGCGGCGGUUGCUGGGGACCGGCGGCCGGCGUGCUGCUGCUGCUAGGGGCGCCGCAGGUAGCUUCAGCGGCGGCGGGAGCUCGGCGAGCGAGUCAUCUAGCAGGAGGAGGGAGGAGGGAGAAGAGAGAAGGAAGGGGAGAGAGGAAAGGAAGGGUACCAUUAAUAAGGGUAGUGUUGGUGCUAGAAAUCGGUCAACCGAAUCCCAGCGACCAACACACGACCCGGGAGAAUCUGCUUAGCUCCUGUUCGGGUGAAUGCCCUGGUGCGGUUCGCGCGGCGUGCCAGCCAAUCUGACCUGUUGAUUGGCAAGGAAGAACACGUGUCAGGUCCAGAAACUACGAUCGGCUAAGUUUCCGAUCGAGAGUGUUUAUCGGCGAAUCGACCGAUUUACUGUGAUAAUGAAAUCGGCUAUAAGACAGCCUGAUCCCUAUAGCCUUGUAGACAGGGAGACUAUUGGAGUAAUCGGUACAAAGCCUAUGAUAACAACACUAGGAAUAGAUCUAAUCGGCAAUAGAUGAAUUUUGACAAUAGAAAGUAAAGAGAGCCGACACUACCGAUUCCUAGCUGGAUAACUGAUGAUAAAGACUAGAAAAACAGGUAAAACCUAUAAAUCUAGCAGAUAUCGAUAACUGGUGAAUAAACCUAAACGAAACAACAGCGAUGCGCCCGAAGUUAAAGCUUAGAUAUUACUCGAUAAGCGGAACUUACAGAAUCGGCCGGAGAUCAAGAUGAUGCAGCCCUGCCAACCUGCACGAACUCGUGAAAAAAGAGGAAAGUAGUGGCGAAGUCGCCUGCUUGAAAGUAAGUACGAGGAAAAAGUAGUUUGUUGUAUUGAUUGGUUGAUGAUUACAGAUUUACAAAGGUAGCUAUUUAUAGCCCCGUACAGAUAACUUCUUAACCGACUAGAAUCCUAUCUCUAAUUCAAACAGAAAACGAAUAUCUACAAGCACAAUUCGUGCUAGGUUAGUUACUCCACGCUUCGUGGGCUGACCUCCACCUUAUCCUUCCAUCCCUUUCCAAGCCCAUACAGGCCCAAUUAGUCCACCCUCCAAAUCGGCCAAUUUCUCAUCGGCAAAAGAUCACCGAUUGGGACUCUGGUGCAUUCGUCCUGAAGUGAGACAAAAGUCGCCAGCCGAUUCCGCACUAUAGCACCAUUUGGCCGAUUCCCAACUGUGCUUCUCCGAUUUCCUUUCUUCUUAGCGUCGACUCUACUGGUGACGAAAUCUGGCGUCAACACAUGCCCCCCAGUUUUGGAGUAAAACAGUCUUUUACUUCGAAAUUCUUUACAACCUCCUUUCCGAAACGGCCGCAGUGAAAAUAUCCUUCCGUUUCGCGGUCUCCCAGCUGAUCAUUGCAAUUUUUUGAAACGGGCGCCCACGACAGCCACUACCCCCGAAAAACUCGAAGCGCCGGCGCGGUGAAAAUUCCAUCUUUACCCCCUCUUCAAGCAUCCUAUAAAUAGCGCUUCACCGCACCUCAUCUUCAAGCUCACGUCUCUUUUCCCAACGCGCGCGCAUCCUUCUUCUUUCAACACUUUCCCUUGCCACCGAAGCUUUCUAGCUCCACCUCCUGUUAUUUCUUCCCUCUUCCCUUCAAUGGCGGCUCCUUCCGGCAGCUCCCCCGCACGCGAUGCUCCAGAGAUAACGCCUCCGGUGGUGGUGGCGACGACCGUCACUCCAUCCACAGAUGAAAGAGUUUCAACAGAAAUCCCAAUGGCGAUCCCCAUCGCGGCCCCAUCAUCCACAUCCGCAUCGGCGACCACACCGAUUACUCAGAACUUUAUCCCAGAGGUAAAUACCGAAUCUUUCCCCUAUCGGCAACGUAUUUAUCUUAGAUCUGUUUCUUACAUUUCCAUACUCCUUUUCCUUCUUUAGGCGGUUAGGCAUAGAAUUACUAUUCACCUCACGGGAAGUCCUGGCCUUGUUUGCCUCGGUCCUAUGGGAGACCCAGAUCCGAUAGAUCUUAUAAAUUCGGAAACUGACCGGAUACCCUUCAAACGAUCCGAUAUGAACUUAGAUCAAUGGGUGGGUACUUUCAGAUCCUGGCCGAAAGAAACCCCAGGUUGGAGGAAAUGGUACCAACGGGUGGCCGCGUCAAAAAGCGUCUUGUGGGAAGAGCUCAAAAUCGGCCAGUGCAUCAACCUCUCCCUGUCUCAAAUGGAGAAAAAUGAGCCGUUAGUGAUGGCGGCUUCCUAUUUUUGGUCUGACGCACUUAAUGCGUUCUUAUUUGGGCACGGUCCUAUGACCCCCACACUGGCCGAUGUGGUCCUCUUGACCGGCCUGGACAUAUCUUCCUCUGACACACCCUUCCGCCUUUUGACCACAACGUCACAUCGGCUGGACACAAGGGGAAUCGACGGCUGGAAAGGCUUCAUCAAAAGCAACAAGAAGACCGGUACCGUUGAGAACAGGGAGCACACAGCUUUCCUGAUGAUGUGGCUAGAAAAACACUUCUUUUGUGGAAGAGCGGCCGGCCCAACAACCAACACCCAACCCUUAGCUGAAGCACUGUCCAGAGGGGACCAUAUUCCUCUAGGGAAACAUCUACUGGGUGCCGUGUACCACAUGCUUCAUCAAAUCGGCACAAGACUUUCCAAGGGAGAACCAAUCGGCAAUCCAGGCGGGCCUUGGUGGUUUGUCAAUCUAUGGUUGAACCUUUACAUGAGCAGAAUCACCCGGCAGCCGGUGGACCAUAUGACAUUCCCCAACAUCGAAUCGGCGGAAGACCCCACCGAGCGUCGCCGAUGCAUGUCCUUUGGUGAAGCGGCGUCAGCUUUUCCAGGUUGUGCGUAUUCUGCUACAAAGAUAGCCGAGUACUUUCGGUGCUUUUACAAUGGAUUUAAUGAAGACGCAUCUAUUUGGUUCCCGUAUCAGCGAGACAACCCAGUCUUUGAACUCCCCACUUGCUUCGAUUCGUCUUCUGGCCGGUUUGAUGAAAAUCUUUAUUAAGGACUGAUCAAACCAGGACUCCUACCGGCCAACUUCUUUUCAGGGAAGGAUGCCCCUACGUACAAAUUCUACAAUCCGUCUACUGCAGCACGACAAUUCGGCAUGGGUCAACUGCCGAUACAAGUGUACUUUGCUGGCCGAAUUAAGUUCAGAGAUGUGCUCACAUCUGGCCUGGAUUACGGUCGGUUGCGAGACCGAAUUCCGGACUCCAGUACGAUUAACUUGAAUGACUGGCUAUUGUUUCCAUUUGCCGUCCAGCCGUUCAAACUUUGGUGGGCCGAAUGGAAGCAAUUUCUAUUCUGUAACUCAGCAUCGGCAUACUGCAAUCUUUUGGAUCCGGCAAACAUUGACCCAAAUGCCGAGGUAUUCCUCAUAGCCGAUUUUUAUUCUUCUCAACAUGAUUGAGCACUAAUGAUUUUAUUGUUCCUUUAGGCCGGGAAUCGGACCCCUCCAACGCACAGCCGCAGCGGACGGUUAAUAGAGAGCCAUCCAUAUACCACCUACCCUCUUAUCGGCUAUAACGCCCCGUCUGUUGACGUGAUUGCCGGCCGAUCAAAGCAAGUUCAUAAGAGGACCACUAAAAAGACUAGUCGCCGAGUCCGGGCUCGCACGGAAUCGGCGGAUCCUCCUGUGCUUGUGUCGGCAGAAACUUUGACUGCACCGCCUUCCCAGUUUACUCAAAGUGUCGAUACUCAAGCCAUCACACAAGCCGGGGUGGCUGCUGCAUCAUUAUUGUUGGAAGCCAUACAGGUAAGCCCGAGUUUUACUAUCUCCGAUUGUCAUCUUGAUAUUAACUCUUCUUAACUUUGUACUUCUCAGAGCACCCCUAUAGAAAUACCACAAUCAGCGAUAACUCAACCGGUCACCAACGCGCCCCCGUCCUCAUCCAUUGAGGUAUAGUAUUUAUCUUGCGGAUUUCCUUCGGGUAUUUGCGUAAUGUACUUAAUCAACUUUUCGACGCAGGCCAUCGGCACACCGAGCGCUUCUCGACCACCGAUUUCUUCUCAGGGGGCUGGUCCGAGCACCGCGCCGAUUGUCGUGGAGUCUUCUUCAUCAGAUGAGCCUAUGGCGCAGGCCACUGAGCAAGACACGACGGCUUCACAAGCGCAGCAUGAAGAAAUUUGCUUCAAAAUGGUAAGUUCCUAAACCAGCUUUCAACCAGCCGAUUUGCUCUGAUUCCCCGCCGAUUCAUCCCUUUUCCUUAUUUUCUUAGGAACAAGACUCUCCCAACAACAGCCUCUUCUCCUUUGCGGUUGCUCUUUCUGAUGACGAGGAAGUCGCGUCCCGCCAAGUUGCUCUAAGCUCUGUUCCUGAUGACGUCCGAGCUAAACUUACCAGCAUCCGAUCCCUCCUACAAGGGGACAUCGGCCGAUUGGUAGAAGAUGCUUCGCCGAUUCGGCAGCUCUUCAGUGACGUCAGCGGACGAGUACCAGAGGAGGCGGAAGAGGCCUUGGCACCGGCGGCCUUCAUCGAGUCCAUGAGGAUCCCAGUCUUUAGGGCCCUUUGUCACAUGGCCGAUCGCGCGAAACUGGCCAAGACUCGUGAAGAUGAAGACGCUUUCAAGCAUCAGGCUCAAGAAGCGCAUCGGCGUAUCCAUGUUCUAGAAGACUCACGCCCGGCGAUCAUUAGUGAAAUAGACCGCCUCAAGCGUCGGAGGGCGGAACUUGCCAAAGAGAUGGAGCAAGUGACCAAAGCAAUCAGUGCCGAAGAGAACAAACUUCAAGAGCUACCUUCUGCUAUUGCCAAUUUGACACGGGAGAGGCAGCGUUUUGCUCAUGAGGCUCUGAGACUCCACCGCAGCACAUCGGAGGUCCCUGGAUCGGUGGAAGAAGACCAACGGGUUCUUGACUCUGCCGAUCAGAUCCGGCGCCGGGCCAUCACAGCUAUCGAUACCCUUUUGGGUAACCUGUAAAACACUGACCGUUUUGUACGAACAUUUACUAUCCUUUUUGACCAUCCCUCGCGACGCCCUCUCUAUUUACUGCCUUCCUUAUUACCGAUAGGACGUGGCCUCACCAGAUGUCCACGCAUUUUUCCCCAUAAAUAUCGACCUCGGCGCCUACUCCCGAUAGUAUCAACUCGGCUCUUAUUUCUCUUUUCUUCUUCUUCUUAUCGGCGCGACUGCUUCGUCAUGGCUUCAUCGUCAUCUUCUUCUGUUAAUCAGGUGAAGCCCUGACCUUUUUCUCUUAGAUCUUUAGGAAAAGAAUGCUUCGCCUUAUCCCCUCUUUGUUUCAGCCCCAACGCCUCAGUCCGGAGCUCGUGCGCGCCAUCGAGUGCAUCCACUCUGAAGAUCCAUUGACCCCGGAGGACAAGGCGCUGAUUCUGGCUCAUCGAGAGGAGCUCCAAGACCACAUUACUGCAGAGGCUCGUGCGGUCUUGGAUUCCGUAGUGAGCGAAGGUCAUCGCCGAUCUCCAACCGUGAGGGGUCGUCAUCGUGACGCGCCUGAAGAUGACGUCACUUCGGCAGCCCGCACGGUCCUGGACUUCAUGGAGAGGAACGGCGGCCAGCGAUUUCCCACCGAUAUGACCCGUUUGCUUCCUCGGCCAGUCGUCCUUGCGGCGGCAGGGGCCUCGCGCCUGGAGCGGAAUGGAAAGGCAUCUGAGAAGAAGAACAAUUAGUUUGUUUUUGUUUUAUUUUUUGUUCUAAGGGCGACUAACGUUUUGUCGGCCAUGUAAUCCGUCGCCCGUACCGAAUGGAUGCAAUCGGCCGAUCCGGUCGACUUUAUGUGCUUCUUAAACCGACUUGUAUCGGCUAUGUGUGAUUGUGUUAUGGUUGAUUUCUUACGCUCCGACCCAUAUACUAGGGUAAUAUCUUUUUAAGUACCUUCCAUUCAGGGCUCUAGUGAAUUCUUCUCCUUCUAUUGUUUCCAAAAUGUAAGCAUUUCCUGGAGCGCAUCUGCCGAUUUUAUAUGGCCCUUCCCAAGUAGGGGACCAUUUUCCGAAUUUAGGAUCUUUCGACCCGAUCGGCAGUACUAACUUCCAUACCAAGUCUCCGGGGGAGAACUGUUUGACUUUGACCUUGUUAUCGUACCACCUGGCUACUCUCUUCUUAUUUUCUUCAAUACUUAUCAGGGCCCUCAAUCGUUGGCUAGCCACAUCGUCAAGUUCCCUUUUCAUAAGUGAUGAGUAAUCAUCGGCCGAUAACUGGUCCUGGAGCGAAAUACGCCUCGAUCCUGCCCUCGACUCCCAUGGUAGCACUGCAUCGUGACCGUACACCAACUGAUAGGGAGAUAAUUUAGUAGCCCCAUGACAAGCCAUCCUGUAUGCCCAUAGGGCCUCAGUCAAACAUAGGUGCCACUUCUUCGGAUGUUCUUCAAUCUUCCUUUUGAUCAACUUGAUUAUUUCUUUGUUGGAGGAUUCUGCUUGACCAUUGGCCUGGGCAUAAUACGGAGAAGAAUUUAACAACUUGAUGCCCAUAUCGGUCGUGAAUUCCUCAAAUUCCCCCGAUGUGAACAUUGUUCCUUGAUCGGUUGUUAUAGUUUGAGGGAUGCCGAAUCGGUAGACGAUGUGGUCUCUUACGAAGUCGGCCAUGAUAGCCGAUGUCACGGCUUUCAACGGAAUCGCCUCCACCCAUUUGGUGAAGUAAUCAGUAGCCACCAGAAUAAACUUGUGCCCCUUGCUUGACGGUGGGUAAAUGUGGUGGAACCACCUCGGAUUAGCUUGAUUAAUCAGAGUUCAGCCGCCUGACAUGCGACACUCCUGAUUAACUCGAGCUAACACGAAGCGCCGUCGGAUUUCAUCCGAUUUAACCACCUUCAACAGGAUCGAGUUCAGCAAACCCACACGAAGGUGAGCGGUUACAGAGAAUACAACAAGUCCACUGAGUUUAAACGGUCUUACUCAAGAGUUUGAUCAUAAUUUUAACAUCAGAGUUUUAUAACAAAAGACAACAGAGAAAACACUAGCGGAAGACUUCGUCGGGGUCGGACGUCCGGGCGAGGCCAGCCAGAACAUCACUGAGUCCUCUCCUCGCCGUCCGAGGAGGGGUCCCACUCGACCGUCCAGCCUGGCGGGAGCUGGGGCGGCCAAACACCAACAAGGGAGGGGUCGGGAACUGCAACUUCACCUGAAAAACAGGAGCCACAACAAGGCUGAGCUACUAAGCUCAACAAGACUUAACCGAUAGGGGUACGGGCUACUCCUCCUUCUAGACAUGCAAGGCUUCUUGGCUGAGGGGUUUGUUUGCCAAAAGCUCUAAGUACCUUAUUUUCAAGUUUUAGCUCCGGUUCUAGAUUUACUUACCAGUCUAGGUUGUGCAACCUAUUCUAAGCAAACAUCGAGCCAAACAAGUUAUAUAUAAAAACAACAUCAUUGCCAUCAUCAGAUUCCUCAUUUACUCAGGGUGACAUAGCGAUCAAGCAAUCUCAAACUGUGAGAGGCAGACGAAUCGAUUCGAGUUCUUUAACCAUGCAUGGUGAACCUAGCCCCACGACAUCCGCGCACCCGGAGGUCGCUUCCUGUGUCGGCCUUCCCCAUCGAUCCCCUAACCCGUGUCGGGCCCAUUUCCUUUGGUGCAAGGUUCCACAGACCCGGCCUCUGCCGUCCUGUGACCACGCUUUGCCACCACGUGCGACAACCAGCAGGGGAAACUCCGUUCCAAGAAUAAUGGGGCGACCGCUCACGUCUAGGUUCAAUCAGGUACUAGGCUUCCUCAUCCCAUACUAAGUAUGAGGCUAGUACUUUCAAACACUUGAUCACGAACACCACCACUGUCGGGCCUUAGCAAGUUUUCAUAGACAGACGGGGCAACCAUCCGACCACCAAAGUGUUACCCAUCCCUGCCCCGUCCACCGUCCUUAUAGUUGUAGCAGAGAGUAAACAUGCAACUCCUACAACUCGCGAGUGACAGGAGAUCACUCGGCUUUUACCGUCUCCUAUUUAAGCAAUGCAGCUACUCGGUCCAGCAGCUAGUGCUCAUAUCAAGGGUUACUAAGUCACGCAUCUAGGGUUUCACACAACUCCUAAACGUAAAUGCACAACAUGCUAUUCGGAAGGCAUGCGCAAAAUUGACAAGAACACAUAGGGUUUCCAUGCAACCGGGGCUUGCCUGCAACCAAAGAGGGCGGAAACUGCUCGACUUCAGGGGCGGCUUUGACUUCAGCGGGCGGGAACUCGGCUACAGCUUCUGCUUCGGGCGCCGGGUGCAGCUCGUAGAAGCCGUCAGCGAGAUGCAGCUCUACACGGAUGCAAUGCAAAGGUUAGCUUAAACGUUUUGAUUUGACCGCAACACUGGCUCUCCUGAGCCCAGAAACUUGCGACAAAGAGCAGGAGUGGGAGGCGGUUGGAGAGAGAGGAUGAUGAUCAACAGGUAAGGGUAGGAAGAAACGAGUGGUUUGAUCCUUGAACUAGAGGGUGUGAUAACUGGGAUCCUCAGACGUAAGCGCGGAAGGGUUCCCACGUUUUACACUUACACCCUCAAGUUGAAGGAAAGAUCACAGCCAGACCCUCGGGCGAGGCGGACAAAGGUCGGCAAACAGACAGGGUCGGACGAGACGGAACUGGGGUCGGGCGGAUAGGAGGGGUCGGUCGAGGCGGACUUAGGGUCGGCACUCACCUUCUUCCUGAAAGGAAGGCUUGGGGUCGGGAAGAGGCAGACUUGGGCACGGAACUAAAGCUUUGAGCAGGGACCUAGGCCGGCGGUGCUCUGGCGGCGGUGCUUCUUGCAGAUCGCAAGAGAGCUCUUGCGCAGCACAAGGGAGCAAGCUGCGGGGCGACUUGGAUGAACUGAGAAGGAACUGGGAGAAGAACUUCUCAAGAUUGGGCGGAUGGCUCUAGGAGCUUUGAGCAGGGAGCUAGAGGAAACUAAGGGCAACAAAGGUGGAGGAAACUCCAGCGACGGGGGCAUUCCUUUUAUAGCUGCGGGAGCAGAGGAACGGAAACGUUGCGGAGAGAGGGAAGGGGAGCGGCGCGAAGGCCGGGGAGAAGCAAUGGAGUGCUCUGCCGUGGCGGCGAUUGAGCAAACCGGGCGGUGCAACAGAACUCCGGGGGUGACGCCAGCGAUCAUUGCGCUACUUCGUCAGGGCGGCGUAGGCGCGGGUAGACCGGUAGUUGAGAUUUGGCGGAAAGCGGGCGUCGCCGUGCGGAAGAGGUGACAGAAGCGACCGGUUAAACGGCGCUAGGAUCGAGGGCGCACAGGUGGGAGAACAAGCGGACGCGGCGCGGGGGAGAGCGCGGAACAACAGAUUGUCGGGCGGUGUCUGACAGGGCGGGGAAAGGAACUGUCGCGGCCGCGGUCGGAGUUGGCGGUGGGGGAAUCGUCGUGUAGUGACGACCGGGCGGCGCAACUGUUGCCGGAUAGGACGGAAAAGACGGGCGACAUUGGUCUCCAGGGCCGAGAUCUGGUAUCGUGAUGAUUGGCGCGGGGAGCGAGGCUCUGCAGAAAGGGGUGCAGAGGGCUUCCGCUUCUAUUAGGGAAGAGGGCGCGGGAACCCACUCGGUCGCUUGCCGGAGACAAAACUGAGCGGUGGCGUCGGAGAAGGCGAGCCACGCGGCAGGAAGGUUCUGAGGCGGCCAGGCAACUCGAGUGCGGCUGAAGCGGGGGAUCGGGAAAAAGAUCUCGCGGGUGAGGAAGAUUAACAGGAUCCGAAGGAUGGCUGAACUCGCCAGGGUCAGAAAAAAGGAACGAAGUAGUAGGGGUCGGAUCUCAGGGGUCGGAACUGGCGGAAAGCUGAGCACUUAAGUGCGAUCAACGGAGUAACUGACGGAGGUUUAAGGGCUGAGAUCAAAACUAACUGGGAGAGAUUAGGGGUCGGUCGUUACAGCAAAUUUGGCCGAUAAGAUCUAUUCCCCACCCCCUGAACGGCCAUGGCUUGAUGAUGGGAUUAAUGGCCGAUGCGGGUGCACGUUGGACAUUUCCAAAUUUUUGACACUCCUGACAACCUUUAUAAUAUUCGAAACAAUCUUCAAGGAUUGUAGGCCAAUAGUACCCGUUGUUCCUGAUCAUCCACUUCAUCUUAUGUGCCGAUUGGUGUGCUCCACAUACCCCUUCAUGGAUUUCUCCCAUUAGAGUCUUGGCUUCUUCUGUCCCAAGGCAUUUAAGAAGGACUCCGUCGAUCGUUCGGUAGAACAGAUCAUCUUCGAGCAGUACGUAUUUGGUGGCAUGAAAGCGUACUCGUCGCUCCACCUUUUUAGACGGAUCCUUCAGGUAAUCGGCAAUUUCUUUACGCCAGUCGUCGGCUGCAAGUUCUAAGGCCAUAGCGCCCAGAAUCGGCCGAUACCCAGAUGCGUGCUGGGCGAGUUUGUUUGCUUCUUCGUUGCGGUCUCUUGGAACAUGCUCGAUUACUGCCGAUCUGAAUUCUUUUAAAAGCUGUAAGCAAUCUUCGUGAUAAAUUCUUAAUACGUCAUCUUUGCACUCAGCCCUUCCGGUUAGUUGAUCCACAAUAAGCAUAGAAUCUCCGAAGAUCUCAACAGAAUCGGCUUUGACUUCUCUCAAUAGUUGUAAACCUUUUAAUACAGCUCUGUACUCCGCUUGAUUGUUAGUAGCGGCAGUUUCUACGGCAGAGAAAAAUCAUAGCUUGCCCCCCGAGGCGAUAUGAGAACGAUGCCGAUUCCUGAUCCGACCCCGCAUGAUGACCCGUCGAAAAAUAAUUGCCAAGGCGCCAGUUCCACGAGGGCGAUCUCCGGUCCACAGUGCUGGGCAACGAAAUCGGCCAUGACUUGACCCUUGACGGCUUUUGCCGAUUCAUACCGCAGGUCAAAUUCCGAUAAAGCUAAGAUCCAUUUACCGAUUCGCCCUUUUAGUAUCGGCAGUGAUAGCAUGUAUUUUACUACGUUGUCCUUGCAUACGACUACACAUUCUGCCGACAGUAGAUAGUGCCUGAGUUUAGUGCAUGAGAAGUAAAGACACAAGCACAAACGUUCCACCGGAGGAUAUCUUGUUUCAGCGUCCAGAAGCCUUCUACUGACGUAAUAAAUUACCCGCUCUUUGCCUUCAAACUCUUGGACCAGAGCCGACCCAAUAGCUUUUUCAUCAGCUGAUAAAUACAGUUUAAACGGCUUACCAGUUUGAGGGGGAACCAAGAUUGGCGGUGAGACCAAGUAUCGCUUGAUAUCUUCUAACGCCUUGCACUGUUCUUCUCCCCAUAUAAAUUCCUGGUCUGGCUUCAACUUCAGAAGUGGUGUGAACGCUUGAAUCCGUCCGGAUAGAUUAGAUAUAAAUCUUCUGAUGAAGUUUACCUUGCCGAUUAGAGACUGUAGCUCAGUUUUGUUCUGUGGGGCCACGACUUUGUUGAUGGCCGCUAUGGUCUUCUGAUUGAUUUCUAUACCUCGUUCGUGCACCAUGAAUCCUAAGAACUGUCCGGCUGAGACGCCGAAAACGCAUUUGUUGGGAUUCAUCUUAAGACCGUGCUUUUUGGUACACUCUAGCACCCUUCGCAAAUCGGCUAGAUGUUCCUCGUGGCUUUUGGACUUGACCACAACAUCGUCGAUGUAGAUUUCUACCAGGAGGCCAAUGAGUUUGUGAAAAAUAUAAUUCAUAGCUCUCUGAUAUGUAGCGCCGGCAUUCUUCAAGCCGAAAGUCAUCACUACCCAUUCGAAUAAACCAAGAUGGCCUGGACAUCUGAAGGCCGUUUUGGGUAUGUCCUCUUCGGCCAUAAGUAUUUGAUUAUAUCCGGCGUUUCCGUCCAUGAAGCUAAUAAUUUUAUGUCCCGCGGCGGCGUCGAUCAGUACAUCGGCUGUAGGCAUGGGGUAGCCAUCCAUCGGUGUGGCCUGAUUAAGAUUCCUGAAAUCAACGCACACGCGUAACUUCCCGUUUUUCUUGUAUACCGGCACGAUAUUGGAAAUCCACUCGGCAUAACGACAUUGCCGAAUAAAUUUUGCUUCGAUUAGCCGAGUUAUUUCAGCUUUUAUGUCUGGUAAGAUUUUAGGAUUGCAACGCCGUGCGGGUUGUUGGUACGGCCGGUACCCUGGCUUUAUGGGUAGCCGAUGUUCAACAAUAGAUCGAUCUAAACCGGGCAUCUCGUGAUACUCCCAAGCAAAACAAUCCUUGAAUUCUCUUAACAAAUUUGUCAAUUUACACUUGUAUUCCGGAUCUAAAUUUGCACUAAUGAAAGUCGGCCUUGGUUUGGUUCCAUCACCUAAGUCUAUCAUCUCUAACGAAUCGGCCGACGUGAAUCCGUGCCCCAGCUUCCCAUCUUCUCGAGCGAACUGAUCCAUCUAUUCUGCGUCUUCGGAGCCGACUGCUCGGAUCGGCUGUAGGCCAAAAUCGGUGACCUUCAGGAAAUCGGUCUCCCACACCCUUCCUGAUAUGCAUCUGACGGUCUCGCAGCUCCACUGCUGCGUGUCGGCUGCUGCAAUGCUGUACGCGGAGUCGGCUUUGACCACCUCGAUGUUAUCACCGACCCAUUGUACGAGGCACUGAUGCAUAGUUGACGGGAUGCAGCAGUUUGCGUGUAUCCAGUCUCGGCCAAGAAGCAUAUUGUAUGAUCCCUUGCCAUUAAUAACGAAAAGAGUGGUAGGAAGGGUCUUACUGCCGAUGGUGAGAUCGACGCAGAGAGCGCCGCGAGCGUUUGACACCUUGCCUUCGAAAUCCUUGAGCAUCAUGUCCGUCCUGGUCAGGUCGUCAUCGCUUUUCCCCAGCUUUCGGAGUACGGCGUACGGCAUAAUGUUGACAGCAGCUCCUCCGUCGACCAUCAAUCUAGUAAGGGGGCGACCGUCAACAUGCCCUUUAAGGAACAAUGCCUUCAUAUGUUGUCGUUCAUUAUCUUUGGGCUUUUCGAACGUGGCCAUCAUUGGCUCCAAAGCCAACUGUGCUGUCUGUUCUUCUAUCUCCGAUACGUCCUGUUGAUCGGCGGGAGUCAUGAACUCCAUCGGCAGUAUGAAAACCAUGCCGAUCUCGGCUGCCGAUUCGUCGCCCGCCGAUUCAUCGUCCCUUUUACCGUUCCUUUUAGGGCGCCACACCUGAGGCCUUCCUUCCUUCUUGUCUGCCGUGCUCUGUUGCUCUUCCUCUUGUUGUUCCUAUUGGCGGAGACGCUGGAUUCUCCGUUUUUGUGACUUGGUCAAUCCGUCGGGGCACCACCUGGGGUUUAUUGGCCUCCCCUCUGUCCUGGCGCGUUCCCACUCCGGUUCGCGUCCUAACGGGUCUUCGUCCGUUACCCGAGCAUCGGCCAUGUCUUCGAGCCGGCUGUGAACGCUGGCUUUGUUGUUUGACUGGUCAUGUCGAUCAGCCCUGCCCCCUGCCUAUCAUGGCAUCUAUCUUCCGACCGAUCAUAUCGGUCACUUCUGCCCCCCAGCCGAUCACGCACGGGAGGGCGCUGGUCAUCUUGGUUGCGCCAAUUCCUGCUGAUCGGUUCUGGCCUUCCGUCCCUGGAACGAGACCUGUUGAACGGCCGAUUGCCUCGAUAGGGACCGUUGCACUCUGGGCAAGUAUCGGCCGAAGGUAGCCUGAGGUUAUUUUCCCAACAAUGAAUGAAGAACGGGCACCUCCAGUGCUCUUCGUGCCGACGCAUCGCUUCUUCUCGGGACCUUGAGCGUUCAUGUUGUCGUUGGUACUUUUGGAGCAGGAACUGGGAAGUAAUGCGUGGCCCUUCUGACUCACCAUCAUCGUCCUCCAUUCGCCGCUUCCCCUUGACAUCUUCAGGCGUAGCUUGAUUUCUGGGAUCGACAGCGCCACUCUUUUUGGCCGAUUCGGACAUCAGCACUUUAGUUUGGAGAGAAUUCUUUCCCGUAUCAACCAUGUUGGUAGGAAAGGGGUGUUGGUCGAUCUUCAUUGGCUUGGCCGAUUUUGCCGGCACUUCAAAUUUGAGUCUGCCUUGCUCAAUGGCCGACUGUAUCUGUUGCCUGAAGAUCUUGCACUCGUUGGUAUCAUGUGAUGUGGCAUUGUGCCACUUGCAAUACUUCAUCUUUUUUAAUUGUUCGGCAGAAGGUAUUGUAUGGUAAGGCGAGAGUUUAAUCUGCCCUUCCUGGAGGAGAAGGUCGAAGAUUUUAUCGGCCUUAGUUGUAUCAAAACCGAAUGCUUCCGGCUCCUUUUUGCCGAAUGGGCAUGAUAUCGGCUUCUUUCCCUUGAUCCACUCCGCAAGUCCGAUUUCGACAUCUUCCUCAUCCUCUAAUUCUUCCAGGAAUGCCACCUUCUUAUGGAAAUUCCUCCGCGGAUCAAAUGGACGCACCUCCUGUCCGGACAAUUGGUGAACAAUCUGGCUCAGGCUCUCGAAAUCUUGUGAAGCAUAUUUCUCUUUAAUGUGUGGUAGGAGGCCUUGGAAAGCUAUAUCGGCCAACUGCGCAUCGGUUAGAGCCAGGGAGUAGCAUUUGUUUCUGAUUUCCCGAAACCUCUGUAUAUACGAGGGUAUCGGCUCAUCACUCCUUUGCCGGAGGCUAGUCAGAUCGGACAGCUUCAUCUCAUGGACCCCAGCAUAGAAGUACUUGUGGAACUGUCUUUCUAGAUCGGCCCAUGUGAUAAUCGAGUUUGGUGGCAAAGUCAUGAACCAUUGGAAGGCCGAUCCGGACAGAGAUGACGAGAACAACCGUACCCGUAGGGCAUCUUGCGUAGCUGCUUCUCCGCAUUGGAUGAUGAAUCUAUUCACAUGCUCCACGGUCGAAGUAUCAUCCAUCCCCGAAAAUUUGGUAAAAUCAGGAACUUUGUACCGAUGGGGGAACGACAACAAGUCAUAUGUAGAUGGGUAUGGUGUUCUAUAGGUAUAAGUUUGCAUUUUCGGCUUCAAGCCGAAUUGUUCUUGCAUCACCUCCGCAAUUUGCGCCGACCAAUCUGGUUGUUGCUGGGGAAUAGUCGGCUGCGGUAUCGGCACGUGCUGAUAAAUCGGAGGCUGAAUAAAAGGAGACUGAUGAAAAGGUGGUAUCUGAGUAUAAGCCGGCGGUGUAGUAAAGGUUGGCUGUUUGAAUGAACCACUCCUUUCAUCAUAUAGCAUGAGCUCUGCCGUCUUGUUGACCUCCGGAGCGACAGGCUGGUAUGGUGGUAUGGUUGGCCGAAUGGCCGCAUGGGAGGAUGCCUGGAACAGAGGGUUUCCUUGACUGGCCGAUUGAUUCAGGCCGGCCGUGGCUGAAGGUGCCCCCCAGGGUGAUGGGCUGACUGGAGGGAACGAUGCAGAGGACAGCUGGAUGGAGCCAUAUCCCAACGGAGUUGAUGAUGCAGAGGCGCCUGAACUCCCGACAGAAAAUUGAAUCGGCUGUGAAGCCGAAUACGGAUAAGUCUGAUUUGGUGGAAUCGGCUGAAAAUAUGUAGGUCCUCUGUAUCCUUGAGGUAUGCCCCCGGCGAAGGAGUUAACAACGGCAUUGUGCACCAUGUUUGAGAGCACCGGAGACUGAUCGAUGAAAGCGUGAUGAAUAGAUUGUUGAAUCAUAUCGGACAUUUUAUCCGAAUCCUCAGAAAUUGUGAUCUGACGGGGAGUAGGGAAAGGAGUCUUCUUAACAGUCUCCCCGCUCCUGGAACGACUGAAAGAUUUCAAGCAAGUCUUUCGGACUUGCUCCAUAUACUUGUUCAGAUCUUCCUUUUGGUCGUCCUUUAGAUCUGCUUCCGUCACCUCGAUGACGUUAUCUUCAGAGACUUCAGCAGCUUUCGACAUGACAGCGGUUGUAUUGGUCCCACCGGGCGUGCCAAAAGUGUGUUGGUGCUAGAAAUCGGUCAACCGAAUCCCAGCGACCAACACACGACCCGGGAGAAUCUGCUUAGCUCCUGUUCGGGUGAAUGCCCUGGUGCGGUUCGCGCAGCGUGCCAGCCAAUCUGACCUGUUGAUUGGCAAGGAAGAACACGUGUCAGGUCCAGAAACUACGAUCGGCUAAGUUUCCGAUCGAGAGUGUUUAUCGGCGAAUCGACCGAUUUACUGUGAUAAUGAAAUCGGCUAUAAGACAGCCUGAUCCCUAUAGCCUUGUAGACAGGGAGACUAUUGGAGUAAUCGGUAUAAAGCCUAUGAUAACAACACUAGGAAUAGAUCUAAUCGGCAAUAGAUGAAUUUUGACAAUAGAAAGUAAAGAGAGCCGACACUACCGAUUCCUAGCUGGAUAACUGAUGAUAAAGACUAGAAAAAUAGGUAAAACCUAUAAAUCUAGCAGAUAUCGAUAACUGGUGAAUAAACCUAAACGAAACAACAGCGAUGUGCCCGAAGUUAAAGCUUAGAUAUUACUCGAUAAGCGGAACAUACAGAAUCGGCCGGAGAUCAAGAUGAUGCAGCCCUGCCAACCUGCACGAACUCGUGAAAAAAGAGGAAAGUAGUGGCGAAGUCGCCUGCUUGAAAGUAAGUACGAGGAAAAAGUAGUUUGUUGUAUUGAUUGGUUGAUGAUUACAGAUUUACAAAGGUAGCUAUUUAUAGCCCCGUACAGAUAACUUCUUAACCGACUAGAAUCCUAUCUCUAAUUCAAACAGAAAACGAAUAUCUACAAGCACAAUUCGUGCUAGGUUAGUUACUCCACGCUUCGUGGGCUGACCUCCACCCUAUCCUUCCAUCCCUUUCCAAGCCCAUACAUGCCCAAUUAGUCCACCCUCCAAAUCGGCCAAUUUCUCAUCGGCAAAAGAUCACCGAUUGGGACUCUGGUGCAUUCGUCCUGAAGUGAGACAAAAGUCGCCAGCCGAUUCCGCACUAUAGCACCAUUUGGCCGAUUCCCAACUGUGCUUCUCCGAUUUCCUUUCUUCUUGGCGCCGACUCUACUGGUGACGAAAUCUGGCGUCAACAGGUAGAUAGGUCUUUUUACAGCUCAUUAAAUGUUGUUUAGCAAGGGGAACCAAACAGCUUUUGCUAAAAUUUAGCAACUAAAGUUUAGUAACUUUUAGCAACUAAAUUUUAGCAAGAGAAACCAAACAUGCCCUAAUUAUCGUCUGUAGCAUUCGCGUACAUCUCCUCGGCAUCACGGAUUACUAUUGUUCUAGCGUCGCAGCAGUCAGCUUUGCAUUUUUGCCGUAGUUACUAUAUUAGUUAAUCAGCACAGAAGGCAAUUAAUAAACGUUAACCUGCCCCUAAUUACAGAACAUGCGGUAAAUGAUUGAAGAGCAUAGAAUAAUUUAUUAUGUAGUCAAACCACCCAACCGCACCAACCUGCUAGCGCGUGCCCGUUUUGGAGCGCCGAGAGGCACCCUCCCUAAUUAAUUAGCGCUAAUUACUUUCAGCCGAGCUGUGCGAGCGAGCCAUGGGCAGGAAGGCAUCGAGCCGAGAGGCAACCGAGCUACAUGUGCCGGGCUUUCGUAGAAAAAGCCACGUAGUUACUAAGUCUGUGAUUACCGUUGCAGUUACUAUUAAAAAAACCAUGCCUGCCCUGCCGAGAGUGAACCACAUGGUUACGAGAAAACAAGGGCACAAUGUUUACGGUAAUGUUUGAACCAGUAACCAUAUAUUAUAUUUUUGUCUAUGCACGCAUACUAGGGCGAAACCGGUCACAAUAAUUCAUAAUCAUAAAAUAUACUUGCGCCAGUUGAUAAGUACAGUAGUAGGGGAGUUACGACAAAUCAGGCAUCACAUUGUUAACCAUUUUACUGAUGAAUCGAAUGUACAGUGAAAUAGUUACAAGAAUUCAAAUGGCUGCAGACCAAUGUGGCGUCAGCACUUACCAGUUACCACAAUUUAGCCCCAAGGUUACUACAAUGAAACGGCAGUUUACGAGAAUUCAAAUAGCUUGAUAUGGUAAUUAGGAUGGAGAGUUACAACAAUUUGGCAUCGUCGAUUGGUUCCGAGAAACCGAUUACUAUAAUGACAGAUGAAUUUACCAUAAAAUAGUUACUUGAAUUCGAGAGCUACCACAAUUUGGCAUCAAGCUUAUCCAUGUAACCAGUUACUAUAUAUAAUGACGAGUAUUUUUUGCACAAAACCCAAUGACGAAUUUGUCUGGGGAUAGAACAUGGAAAACUAUGGCAACUAAGACACUGUCAGCAUCCACUUCGCCUAUAAUCAUCAGCAGAGAAGAUCAAGGUCGAGGCCAGCGUGCCUCUUUAGCAGGGAGCUUCUUGAUUCUGUUAAGUGUGUGGUAAAGGCCGGAGCAGCAAUGAUAAAAUUUUUCCUGCAUUAUAUAAUUUACAAAAAUCAGGACUGAAUUACAUCUAGACAAUUGCAACAAUGGAAAUUUGGUAAACUGGUGAUCUAAACCUGUGGAUUGGGAAAUAAGAACAUUCACUAUUCAAUAGCAUACAACUCAGGGCACAACUCUGGGAUGGUAGAUGCCAUCUAUCAGGUCAAUUGUAAACAUUCAAUGCUGCUUUGUCAGCAUACACACGGUGGCCUGGAUUUGAUCAGAGAUUCAUAAUAAAAAAGUGUGAAAUACUGAUAAAAAAUGAAUGGCAACUGUGAAUGAUUCAUGUACCGACAGCACGGCCUAUAUUUGAUCAGAAAAUGCAGAAUAAAAGUGCCAAAUAGUAAAUAAUGAAUGGUAACUGUGAAUUAUUCAUGUACUAUGGAAUGGAAUCGAUUGUGAGCGGCACCAGAGGAUGACUUAUGGCGUUGGAAAGGAAAAGUGGAAUCUGUUGCGCACUUUGGCCCAUGUAUGGUUGCUCAGGAUAAAAGCAUAAUUUUGUUUCUAAAUCGGUUGAUUAAUUAUGAUAACAUGCUAGUUAUUUCUCAUCCUAAAUUAUUUAUGCACAAUGUUAUUCUAGUUUAUUUUAUCAAAUUUUUAGGUUGAUUUAGUGACCCAAAAUACUUAUAACUUGGAUUCUUAUAAGGAACUGACGGUCUAACUUGCUUGUUUAGAGCCGAAUAGUGUUUGACUACUGUGUAAUAAUUGUGGGUUGUUUCCUUCUCGGAAAGGACGAUGAAGCCUAGUCACAAACUUUUUUCAUUAUUAAAAGAAGAAACGGCCGCUCAGUGGUGGGCGGAAACCGGUAGUGCGUUGACUUGACGUGUUACCACUAGGGUGGCAAAGAACUCUCUAAUUUAACCUAGCAAAUUUAAGGAUCGAGCUCAAUAAAAAUCAGAUUAUAAUUUUAUAUAAUUUUGAACUAAAAAUAGAUAGGACUGCUGAGUUGGAUUGUGAAGAAAGGAUCAUAGCCCAUUACCACCUAGUUACCACUCAGGCACUCAGUGAAGCCCGUCGUUGUCGCCCAUGCCGAGCUCUAUUUAUCUGAGCUGAGAGGAGCGCGGUGUCAAGGUUAGCUAGCUAGCUAAGCUAGGCAGCACUUCCCUAUCGAGGAGGACAAGCUUGUUCCCCUCCCUGAUUAUUGGCACAAGCUGAUCGGGGAAGAGACCGAUCGAUAUGGCGGCGGAGCCGCAGGCGAGCAGCGGCGCUCACGCGGCGGCGACCCAGCUGGGCGACCUGCCGGAGGCGUGCCUGGCGCAGGCCAUCGCGCUCACCUCCCCGCGCGACGCAUGCCGCUGCGCCGCCGUGUCACCGGCCCUCCGCGCCGCCGCCGACUCUGACCACGUCUGGCGGGGCUUCCUCCCCGAGCAGCUGAUGAUCGACGG